UUCCGGUUGAUCCUGCCGGACCUGACUGCUAUCGGAUUGAUACUAAGCCAUGCGAGUCUUUGCAGUAAUGCAAGGCAUACGGCUCAGUAACACGUAGUCAACUUACCCUAUGGACGAGGAUAAUCUCGGGAAACUGAGCAUAAUACUCGAUAGAUCAUAAUGCCUGGAAUGGUUUAUGGUUGAAAUGAUUCGUCGCCAUAGGAUAGGACCGCGGCCUAUCAGCUUGUUGGUGAGGUAAUGGCCCACCAAGGCGAUUACAGGUACGGGCUCUGAGAGGAGAAGCCCGGAGAUGGGUACUGAGACAAGGACCCAGGCCCUAUGGGGCGCAGCAGGCGAGAAAACUUUGCAAUGUGCGAAAGCACGACAAGGUUAAUCCGAGUGAUUUCUGCUAAAGAAAUCUUUUGCAAGUCAUAAAACCACUAGUGAAUAAGGGGUGGGCAAGUUCUGGUGUCAGCCGCCGCGGUAAAACCAGCACCUCAAGUGGUCAGGAGGAUUAUUGGGCCUAAAGCAUCCGUAGCCGGCUCUGUAAGUUUUCGGUUAAAUCCAUGUGCUCAACGCAUGGGCUGUCGAAAAUACUGCGUAGCUAGGGAGUGGGAGAGGUAGACGGUACUCGGUAGGAAGGGGUAAAAUCCUUUGAUCUAUCGAUGACCACCUGUGGCGAAGGCGGUCUACCAGAACACGUUCGACGGUGAGGGAUGAAAGCUGGGGGAGCAAACCGGAUUAGAUACCCGGGUAGUCCCAGCUGUAAACGAUGCAGACUCGAUGAUGCAUUGGUCAUAUAGCCAGUGCAGUGUCGCAGGAAGCCGUUAAGUCUGCCGCCUGGAAGUACGUACGCAAGUAUGAAACUUAAAGGAAUUGGCGGGGGAGCACCACACGGGGUGAAGCCUGCGGUUCAAUUGGAGUCAACGCCAGA
Molecule: ribosomal RNA, 913 nt
Filed under: uncultured archaeon
Lineage: Archaea
Description: bacterial SSU rRNA
Rfam family: Archaeal small subunit ribosomal RNA
Source: RNAcentral